UACGAAGGGGGCUAGCGUUGCUCGGAAUCACUGGGCGUAAAGCGCACGUAGGCGGAUUGUUAAGUCAGGGGUGAAAUCCUGGAGCUCAACUCCAGAACUGCCUUUGAUACUGGCGAUCUUGAGUCCGGGAGAGGUGAGUGGAACUCCGAGUGUAGAGGUGAAAUUCGUAGAUAUUCGGAAGAACACCAGUGGCGAAGGCGGCUCACUGGCCCGGUACUGACGCUGAUGUGCGAAAGCCGUGGGGAGCAAACAGG
RNAcentral lists this ribosomal RNA (254 nucleotides) under uncultured bacterium. RNAcentral's name for it is "partial 16S ribosomal RNA". It matches the Rfam family "Bacterial small subunit ribosomal RNA", at positions 524 to 776 of the family's 1533-position model. The record is from RNAcentral.